UUCAGCUACUCACAGUGAGGUUAUUGUAGUUUGACUACACGCAUACAUGGUCUCUAGUCAUAUGGGUCCUUGUAGUGUAGAUUGGCUGCAUUAAGUUCACUGUAGGAGUAGGGUAUGCACUUACAUGGAAUCUAUCGACCAAGAUAGAAGAGGAGUGAUCCUAUGUGAUUUGUUAGACUGCGUUCUAAGACCUUGGCCAGGGCAGUAAUAUAAAGUGGAAAAAGAGUUUUCCAC
RNAcentral lists this long non-coding RNA (234 nucleotides) under Phoenix dactylifera (date palm). RNAcentral's name for it is "long non-coding RNA (PDAC_LNC016129)". The record is from RNAcentral. Lineage: Eukaryota; Viridiplantae; Streptophyta; Magnoliopsida; Arecales; Arecaceae.